RNAcentral lists this ribosomal RNA (452 nucleotides) under uncultured Pelotomaculum sp. RNAcentral's name for it is "bacterial SSU rRNA". It matches the Rfam family "Bacterial small subunit ribosomal RNA", at positions 934 to 1382 of the family's 1533-position model. The record is from RNAcentral. Lineage: Bacteria; Bacillati; Bacillota; Clostridia; Eubacteriales; Desulfotomaculaceae.
GGAGUAUGUGGUUAAUUCGACGCAACGCGCAGAACCUUACCUAGACUUGACAUCCCGGGAUUUACUGGAAACAGAGAAGUGCUUUAGCAAUAAAGAACCCGGUGACAGGUGCUGCAUGGCUGUCGUCAGCUCGUGCGUGAGAUGUUGGGUUAAGUCCCGCAACGAGCGCAACCCCUACGUUUAGUUGCUAACAGGUGAAGCUGAGCACUCUAGACGAACUGCCGUUGACAAAACGGAGGAAGGUGGGAUGACGUCAAAUCAUCAUGCCCCUUAUGUUCUGGGCUACACACGUGCUACAAUGGCCGGUACAGACGGAGGCGAAGCCGCGAGGCGGAGCAAAUCCGAAAAAGCCGGUCUCAGUUCGGAUUGCAGGCUGCAAUUCGCCUGCAUGAAGUCGGAAUCGCUAGUAAUCGCAGGUCAGCAUACUGCGGUCGAAUACGUUCCCGGGCCUU